Molecule: transfer RNA, 60 nt
Filed under: Dipodomys ordii (Ord's kangaroo rat)
Lineage: Eukaryota; Metazoa; Chordata; Mammalia; Rodentia; Heteromyidae
Rfam family: tRNA
About the family: Transfer RNA (tRNA) molecules are approximately 80 nucleotides in length. Their secondary structure includes four short double-helical elements and three loops (D, anti-codon, and T loops). Further hydrogen bonds mediate the characteristic L-shaped molecular structure. tRNAs have two regions of fundamental functional importance: the anti-codon, which is responsible for specific mRNA codon recognition, and the 3' end, to which the tRNAs corresponding amino acid is attached (by aminoacyl-tRNA synthetases). tRNAs cope with the degeneracy of the genetic code in two manners: having more than one tRNA (with a specific anti-codon) for a particular amino acid; and 'wobble' base-pairing, i.e. permitting non-standard base-pairing at the 3rd anti-codon position.
Source: Rfam by way of RNAcentral
GUGGCUCAGUGGUAGAGCGCCUGCCUUGCAUGCAUGAGGCCCUGGGUUCAAUUCCUCAGC